GUGGGGAAUAUUGGACAAUGGGCGCAAGCCUGAUCCAGCCAUGCCGCGUGUGUGAAGAAGGCCUUCGGGUUGUAAAGCACUUUUGUUGGGAAAGAAAUCCUGUCGGCUAAUACCCGGCGGGGAUGACGGUACCCAAAGAAUAAGCACCGGCUAACUUCGUGCCAGCAGCCGCGGUAAUACGAAGGGUGCAAGCGUUACUCGGAAUUACUGGGCGUAAAGCGUGCGUAGGUGGUUCGUUAAGUCAGAUGUGAAAGCCCCGGGCUCAACCUGGGAAUUGCAUUUGAUACUGGCGGACUAGAGUGCGGUAGAGGAGAGUGGAAUUCCCGGUGUAGCAGUGAAAUGCGUAGAGAUCGGGAGGAACAUCAGUUGCGAAGGCGGCUCUCUGGACCAGCACUGACACUGAGGCACGAAAGCGUGGGGAGCAAACAGGAUUAGAUACCCCAGUAGUCC
This 450-nucleotide ribosomal RNA is filed under the name uncultured bacterium. Its description in RNAcentral is "partial 16S ribosomal RNA". It matches the Rfam family "Bacterial small subunit ribosomal RNA", at positions 354 to 796 of the family's 1533-position model. The record is from RNAcentral.